This 468-nucleotide ribosomal RNA is filed under the name uncultured bacterium. RNAcentral describes it as "partial 16S ribosomal RNA". It matches the Rfam family "Bacterial small subunit ribosomal RNA", at positions 28 to 507 of the family's 1533-position model. The record is from RNAcentral.
GACGAACGCUGGCGGCGUGCUUAACACAUGCAAGUCGAACGGAAAGGCCCUGCUUUUGUGGGGUGCUCGAGUGGCGAACGGGUGAGUAACACGUGAGUAACCUGCCCUUUACUUUGUGAUAACUUCAGGAAACUGGGGCUAAUACCGGAUAGGAGCUCCUGCUGCAUGGUGGGGUUUGGAAAGUUUCGGCGGUUGGGGAUGGACUCGCGGCUUAUCAGCUUGUUGGUGGGGUAGUGGCUUACCAAGGCUUUGACGGGUAGCCGGCCUGAGAGGGUGACCGGCGACAUUGGGACUGAGAUACGGCCCAGACUCCUACGGGAGGCAGCAGUGGGGAGUAUUGCACAAUGGGGGGAAGCCUGAUGCAGAAACGCCGCGUGCGGGAUGACGGCCUUCGGGUUGUAAACCGCUUUCGCCUGUGACGAAGCGUGAGUGACGGUAAUGGGUAAAGAAGCACCGGCUAACUACGUG